RNAcentral lists this unclassified non-coding RNA (346 nucleotides) under soil metagenome. RNAcentral's name for it is "partial contains 5.8S ribosomal RNA, internal transcribed spacer 2, and large subunit ribosomal RNA". The stretch from base 1 to 120 matches the Rfam family "5.8S ribosomal RNA", at positions 35 to 154 of the family's 154-position model. The record is from RNAcentral.
GAUGAAGAACGUAGCGAAAUGCGAUAGGUAAUGUGAAUUGCAGAAUUCAGUGAAUCAUCGAGUCUUUGAACGCACAUUGCGCCCCCUGGUAUUCCGGGGGGCAUGCCUGUCCGAGCGUCAUUGCUGCCCUCAAGCCCGGCUUGUGUGUUGGGCCCCGUCCUCCGAUUCCGGGGGACGGGCCCGAAAGGCAGCGGCGGCACCGCGUCCGGUCCUCGAGCGUAUGGGGCUUUGUCACCCGCUCCGUAGGCCCGGCCGGCGCUUGCCGAUCAACCCAAAUUUUUAUCCAGGUUGACCUCGGAUCAGGUAGGGAUACCCGCUGAACUUAAGCAUAUCAAUAAGCGGAGGA